Long non-coding RNA from Ostrinia nubilalis (European corn borer), 1688 nucleotides. RefSeq lists it as uncharacterized. The record is from RefSeq and is a predicted model, not a curated record. NCBI's taxonomy places the organism in Eukaryota, Metazoa, Arthropoda, Insecta, Lepidoptera, Crambidae. The transcript is spliced from 3 exons.
UCGUUGGUGGUCCUUACAACUGUCACUGUCACUAUAUGGUACUGUAGCUCACUGUUCCUAGGUCGUCGUGGGUCGUCGGCGGUGCUUACUGUCACUUGUGGGUCGUGGGCGGGGCUUGAGUCACUGCAGGCCGAAGAGCCAGUUGAUGCCCUGCGCCAUGAACAGCACGAGCGGCUGCCACGCCACCAGCCAGCGGAUCCAGUCCAGCAGCUGCCCGAACAGUAUGUGCGGCCGGUCCCAGCUGGUGACGCGUUAAGGACUCAUUUGUUAACAUUACUAGUCACUGACUGUUCUGAGGUGAUCAAGUGGGUCGUUGGUGGUCCUUAGAACUGUCACUGUCACUGUGUGGUACUAGGACUGUCACUAGUAGCUGUCACUGUUCAUAGGUCGUCGUGGGUCGUAGUUACUAUUCUUUGGUCAUCAAGAUGCGGGUCGUUGGUGGUCCUUAGGACUGUCACUGUCACUAUGUGGUACUGUAUUAUUACUUGUAGCUGUCACUGUUCCUAGAUCGUCGUGGGUCGUCGGCGGUGCUUACUGUCACUGUUCCUCGGUCACUUGUGGGUCGUGGGCGGGGAUUGAGUCACUGCAGGCCGAAGAGCCAAUUGAUGCGGUGAUCAAGAUGCGGGUCGUUGGUGGUCCUUAGAACUGUCACUGUCACUGUGUGGUACUAGGACUGUCACUAGUAGCUGUCACUGUUCAUAGGUCGUCGUGGGUCGUAGUUACUAUUCUUUGGUCAUCAAGAUGCGGGUCGUUGGUGGUCCUUACAACUGUCACUGUCACUAUGUGGUACUGUAUUAUUAUUAGUAGCUGUCACUGUUCCUAGGUCGUCGUGGGUCGUCGGCGGUGCUCACAACUAUUAUUCCUCGGUCACCAAAUUGUGGGUCGUCGACGGGGCUUGAGUCACUGCAGGCCGAAGAGCCAGUUGAUGCGGUGAUCAAGAUGUGGGUCGUUGGUGGUCCUUACAACUGUCACUGUCACUAUAUGGUACUGUAGCUCACUGUUCCUAGGUCGUCGUGGGUCGUCGGCGUUGCUUACUGUCACUUGUGGGUCGUCGGCGGGGCUUGAGUCACUGCAGGCCGAAGAGCCAGUUGAUGCGGUGAUCAAGAUGCGGGUCGUUGGUGGUCCUUACAACUGUCACUGUCACUAUGUGGUACUAGUAGCUGUCACUGUUCCUAGGUCGUCGUGGGUCGUCGGCGGUGCUUACUGUCACUUGUGGGUCGUGGGCGGGGCUUGAGUCACUGCAGGCCGAAGAGCCAGUUGAUGCCCUGCGCCAUGAACAGCACGAGCGGCUGCCACGCCACCAGCCAGCGGAUCCAGUCCAGCAGCUGCCCGAACAGUAUGUGCGGCCGGUCCCAGCUGGUGACGCGUUAAGGACUCAUUUGUUAACAUUACUAGUCACUGACUGUUCGGAGGUGAUCAAGUGGGUCGUUGGUGGUCCUUAGAACUGUCACUGUCACUGUGUGGUACUAGGACUGUCACUAGUAGCUGUCACUGUUCCUAGGUCGUCGUGGGUCGUUGUUACUAUUCUUUGGUCAUCAAGAUGCGGGUCGUUGGUGGUCCUUACAACUGUCACUGUCACUAUGUGGUACUGUAUUAUUACUUGUAGCUGUCACUGUUCCUAGGUCGUCGUGGGUCGUAGGCGGUGCUUACUGUCACUUGUGGGUCGUGGGCGGGGCUUGAGUCACUGC